GCUGCCCCUAUAGGAGUUUCAAGUGUGGCUGCUGUGUCACAUUGUAGCAGAGAGGGGAGAGGCUAUUUCUACGUCAGUGCUCUGACCUGUGAACAUCUGAAUGAUUAUUAGGCUGACACU
Molecule: small nucleolar RNA, 120 nt
Organism: Jaculus jaculus (lesser Egyptian jerboa)
Lineage: Eukaryota; Metazoa; Chordata; Mammalia; Rodentia; Dipodidae
Source: Ensembl